UAGGGAAUCCUCCGCAAUGGGCGAAAGCCUGACGGAGCAACGCCGCGUGAGUGAAGAAGGAUUUCGGUUCGUAAAGCUCUGUUGUUAGGGAAGAAUGAUUGUGUAGUAACUAUACACAGUAGAGACGGUACCUAACCAGAAAGCCACGGCUAACUACGUGCCAGCAGCCGCGGUAAUACGUAGGUGGCAAGCGUUGUCCGGAAUUAUUGGGCGUAAAGCGCGCGCAGGUGGUUUAAUAAGUCUGAUGUGAAAGCCCACGGCUCAACCGUGGAGGGUCAUUGGAAACUGUUAAACUUGAGUGCAGGAGAGAAAAGUGGAAUUCCUAGUGUAGCGGUGAAAUGCGUAGAGAUUAGGAGGAACACCAGUGGCGAAGGCGGCUUUUUGGCCUGUAACUGACACUGAGGCGCGAAAGCGUGGGGAGCAAACAGGAUUAGAUACCCUGGUAGUCCACGCCGUAAACGAUGAGUGCUAAGUGUUGGUCUCAUAAGAGAUCAGUGCUGCAGCUAACGCAUUAAGCACUCCGCCUGGGGAGUACGACCGCAAGGUUG
This 548-nucleotide ribosomal RNA is filed under the name uncultured bacterium. RNAcentral's name for it is "bacterial SSU rRNA". It matches the Rfam family "Bacterial small subunit ribosomal RNA", at positions 355 to 896 of the family's 1533-position model. The record is from RNAcentral.